Acinonyx jubatus (cheetah) is the source of this 940-nucleotide long non-coding RNA. RefSeq lists it as uncharacterized. The transcript is spliced from 3 exons. The record is from RefSeq and is a predicted model, not a curated record. Lineage: Eukaryota; Metazoa; Chordata; Mammalia; Carnivora; Felidae.
UUACUUCAGGAUUAUUAAUUAAAUCAAUCUCCAUCUGGCUCCAAAUUCCAUCUGAAGCUUUUCCUCUAUUCUCCUUCCGAGAGAAGGAGCAGAGAGAAGAGAAUCACUGUGUUCCUGUCGCCGGCAUUUCUCACAAGGAGACUACCUCCUUGCCGUCACCGAUGAAGUUCCACGGAAAGAUAUUCUCGGAAUCCAUUCUGAGCCAAGCGAUCCGAACAAGAUCUAUCGGGUGUUGAGGGUCAAAUCCUGGGAUAAAUCAAAGUAUGGUCAAAGAGCUAUUGAGAAGGCAGAGCAGAAGGAACGUACAAGCAUGGCUGGUGGAAAUGUAACCACUCCAGAAAACCUCAGUCAGUUUCUCCAAAGUUAAUGUAUGGGACCAUGUGACCCUGACAUCCCACUUCUCGGAAACCACCUGGAGAUGGAGAAGACAGAUGAUAUGCAGAUUGGAACAUGGAACAAGGAGUUGAAAAACAGAGACCGUACCUUGCAGACAAUGGAGAUGUCAAACGUCAACUAGAUCUUUAGUCACAAGGUUAGAGGUCAAAAUUAGAUUGAGUGAUGGAACAAGCCAAGUGUGAGGAGAAGUGGGAAAUGAAUAUGUGGCAUGGUCCUGAUCAGUUUUGCAUAUAAAAUUCCAAUUCCAAGAAUUCCAAGUCAUUGCAUAGCCCCAGAUUUUAUCAGCUUGGGGGAAGCAGAUCAUCUGGAGAUUCAGGGACUGGACAGAUGGAUCCGGCUGGAGUUUAAGCUCUCACACUAAGGUCUCCCUGUAGGACAUCAUCGCAUAUAUCUGUGCAGGUUGGGAACUGCAUAAUUCCAAUGGGUCCGACCACACCACAUCUAGUGACACCCCUGGAGUGCUGGGAUCAGUUGCGCAAUACUCCAUGGUCUCUGCAGCUGGAUUCCAAGAACAUGAGGAGGUCUGUUAAAGUUUUUUAGUGAU